Molecule: ribosomal RNA, 321 nt
Filed under: uncultured eukaryote
Lineage: Eukaryota
Description: partial 18S ribosomal RNA
Rfam family: Eukaryotic small subunit ribosomal RNA
Source: RNAcentral
CCCUUAGAUGUUCUGGGCCGCACGCGCGCUACACUGACGCAUUCAACGAGUCUCCUUGGCCGAGAGGCCUGGGCAAUCUUAUGAACCUGCGUCGUGAUAGGGAUAGAUUAUUGUAAUUAUUAAUCUUGAACGAGGAAUUCCUAGUAAACGCAGAUCAUCAAUCUGCAUUGAUUACGUCCCUGCCCUUUGUACACACCGCCCGUCGCACCUACCGAUUGGAUGGUCCGGUGAGGCCUCGGGAUUGUGGCCGGUGCAUUUAUUUGUGUCGGUUGCGAGAACUUGUCCAAACCUUAUCAUCUAGAGGAAGGUGAAGUCGUANCA